CGUCAGAGCUUUAAGAGAACCUUUCCUUAGUACGAGAGGACCGAGAAGGACACACCUAGUAUAUCAGUUAUUGUGCCCAUGGUAAAUGUUAGAUAGCUAAGUGUGGAGCGAAUAACUGUUGAGAGCAUCUAAAUAUGAAGCCUAUCCCAAAAUGAGUGCUCUCUUAUCAUGCUUAGUUUAUUAAUUCAUAUUUUAUUUAUCGUGAUUAAUUGAAAAAUUAUUAUCUAAACCACAAAAAAGAAUAA
This is a ribosomal RNA of Lupinus angustifolius (narrow-leaved blue lupine), 245 nucleotides long. It matches the Rfam family "Bacterial large subunit ribosomal RNA", at positions 2652 to 2912 of the family's 2925-position model. The record is from Rfam. Lineage: Eukaryota; Viridiplantae; Streptophyta; Magnoliopsida; Fabales; Fabaceae.